CCUACGGGUGGCUGCAGUGAGGAAUAUUGGUCAAUGGGCGCGAGCCUGAACCAGCCAAGUAGCGUGAAGGAUGACUGCCCUACGGGUUGUAAACUUCUUUUAUAAAGGAAUAAAGUGAGGCACGUGAGCCUUUUUGUUUGUACUUUAUGAAUAAGGAUCGGCUAACCCCGUGCCAGCAGCCGCGGUAAUACGGUGGAUCCGAGCGUUCUCCGGAUUUAUUGGGUUUAAAGGGAGCGUAGGUGGGUUGAUAAGUUAGUUGUGAAAGUUUGCGGCUCAACCGUAAAAUUGCAAUUGAUACUGGCAGACUUGAGUGCAGUUGAGGUAGGCGGAAUUCGUGGUGUAGCGGUGGAAUGCUUAGAUAUCACGAAGAACUCCGAUUGCGAAGGCAGCUUGCUAAACUGCAACUGACAUUGAUGCUCGAAAGUGUGGGUAUCGAACAGGAUUAGAUACCCGAGUAGUC
RNAcentral lists this ribosomal RNA (460 nucleotides) under uncultured bacterium. RNAcentral's name for it is "partial 16S ribosomal RNA". It matches the Rfam family "Bacterial small subunit ribosomal RNA", at positions 338 to 795 of the family's 1533-position model. The record is from RNAcentral.